CUACAGCGAGAUCCUGGACGCCACGCUGACCAUCACCGUCACCAUGCGGACGCUGGACCUCAUCGACGAGGCCUACGGCUUUGACUUCUACAUCCUCAAGACUCCAAAAGCCGAUAUGUGCUCAAAGCUCGGGAUGGAUUUGAAGCGAACGAUGCUGCUGCGACUUGCACGGCGGGAUCCUAAACUGCAUCCCGAUGAUCCGGCCAGAAGAGAGGCAAUCUAUAAUAAGUACCAGGAAUUUGUGAUCCCAGAAGAGGAAGCUGAAUGGGUCGGCUUGAGUUUAGAAGAAGCAAUAGAAAAACAGAGGCUCCUAGAAAAAAAGGACCCUGUCCCACUCUUUAAGGUGUAUGCUGAAGAGCUCGUCAGCCAACUGAAAGAAAAGGCACUGCAGAAGCAGUAGAAGGAAAGAAACCUUAGGAGCAAAAACCCCUGCUGCAGAUCAAGCUGGGGGGGGUUCAGUGAGUCUUCUGUCUGAACCACGUUGUGUGGAAGAGGCCGCGUGAAGAGCGUGCCCAGGAGCACCUUGCAGUUAUCAAAGUUUAGUGACAGCCUAAAUUCAGUGAGGAACCAUUCCUGUGGGCUGAGGAAAGAAUUUCUGUCCUGUGGCCUCUGAAAGCGUUCUUUUGUGUGGUGCUGAUCUUUCGGGGAGAGCUCUGGCUGUACGUCCUCCCAGGCUGCACUGCUGGUAUUGCCUGUCCUUGAAGUUGAUUCUGGUCUUCAGCGCUGCUCAUCGUGCAUGCCCAUUCUGCAGGAUCUGCUGCCUUGGGAAGGUUUGCUGGGUGCCGAGGGGUAGCGGGAGCUUUCGGCUGGACCUGGGGGAGAGCUCCUGUCCCGCUGAGGGUGGGGGGUGCUAAUGGGGACACUGCAAGAGUGCAAUAGGAGCUGCAGGAGCUUCUCCAUGGGGGAAGCUACUGGGGAUGUGGUUAAUCCUGACUUCUGAGUUGGAGUCCUCCAUUCUGUCAUCCUGCCUUCGCUGUGAAACC
Molecule: RNA transcript, 983 nt
Organism: Egretta garzetta (little egret)
Lineage: Eukaryota; Metazoa; Chordata; Aves; Pelecaniformes; Ardeidae
Gene: MRPL28
Gene name: mitochondrial ribosomal protein L28
Exons: 5
Source: RefSeq, a predicted model, not a curated record